UCUAAACAACCUGCCGCCCGGGAAAGUCCACACCGCACCUUCAGAGGAAUGUGCAGCUCCGUGCUCCGCUGGAAACGCUCUGCGGCAGGAAUGCGCUCUGGGCGGCGACGCGGCAAGAGAGCGGCAAACUACCGCAGCAGCGCCGGAAGCGAGAGGAGACUUUGUCCCCGUCUCCGGCUGCUGUGGGAAACAGACGAGGAUCAAUGAUUAACGCGGGGAUGAUGGAGGUGAUGGAGCACCGCCCUCUCUUCAUGUGUUCUCUCUUCUAACGAUGAAUUCACUUUUGCAAACUGUUGUUCAUCAUUACAUUACAUGUCAUUUGUUAGACGCUUUUAUCCAAAGCGACUUACAUACAUUCAGUACUGUGGACAAUCCCCACAGGAGCAAUUUGGGGUGAAGUGUCUUACCCAGGGACACAACGACAUGCUGACUGCUGUGGGACUCCAACUUGCUACCCCCUGAUUCGAAGUCCAGCCCUCUAUCCACUGAGCCACAGCUCUAUCCACUAAGCCACAGCCGCACUCAUCAAGAGAAAUCCUUUAAACUAAAUGUUAAGGCAUUGCUGUUUAAGGGAAUGCAAUUAAACUGUAUUUACUAUUCUUUUGCAAGGUUGCAAUAAAAGGUGUUUAACAUGAA
Molecule: long non-coding RNA, 636 nt
Organism: Gymnodraco acuticeps
Lineage: Eukaryota; Metazoa; Chordata; Actinopteri; Perciformes; Bathydraconidae
Exons: 2
Source: RefSeq, a predicted model, not a curated record